Molecule: long non-coding RNA, 1503 nt
Organism: Zalophus californianus (California sea lion)
Lineage: Eukaryota; Metazoa; Chordata; Mammalia; Carnivora; Otariidae
Exons: 3
Source: RefSeq, a predicted model, not a curated record
UUAUGUUAUGUUAGUCACUAUACAGUACAUCAUUAGUUUUUGAGGUAGCGUUCCAUGAUUCAUUGUUUGCAUAUAACACCCAGGGCUCCACGCAAUACGUGCCCUCCUUAAUACCCAUCUUUAGUGGCAAACAAUAUGAGAUUGAGGAAGGGUGGCAGGACCAGGGUGGCUCAGUGUGGCCAGAGGGAAGGACAGAGUGGGUACAUCUCAGAUAAAGAAGAUUCUUGAGCUAAGCCAAGGAUUUAAGACACAUUCUAGAAUGUGUGAGAAGCCAAUGGAGAGUUUUAAGCAAGGGAUUCUUUAUCAGGUUUCUUAGUUCUGAGCAAUAGAGACUGACUCUGGCCGACUAAGAAGAAAAGGAACAUGUUAAAAAGGAUACUGGAUAGCUCAGGGAAUUCUGGGAAGGACUAAAGAGGUUCCAGGCUAAUUCCAGGAAUGAAACUCAGAACCACGCUGAAGAACUGGCCUGAUGGGGAAACUAGCCUGACUGACUGGGAUUGCCCCACCCUGCCCUGGAGGAAACUGCUGUCUCCCUGACAGAAACCACUGCGGAAUGGCAGCCACCUUCAAAUGCCACACGUUUUUGUGACCUCCUACACCAACAAAAUGCCAAGCUUCCAAAAGAGCCCGUUUCCUCACCUUGCUCACUUCUAAAUCAAAGGCUCAUAGGGAUACAUCUGAUUAAGGGGGACGGGAGUCCCAUGCCUGAGUCCUGGCUGCAAAGGAGACUGAGAUUGGGGGCGUCUGAACUCCUUCCUUGGGAAGGCAAAUAUCCCCAAAUGUUAAAAAAAAAAAAAAAAAAAAGGCCAUUCAAAAGAUGGUAGGAAGCCAUGAGUCUGACAGGCAUACAGCACAAGGGACACAGGUCAGAUCUGAAAUGUGAAUCUAUCACCUGUCACGUGUAGGGGCUAUAUUAGAUCAGGGUUCCUCAACCUUGGCACUGUUGACACUUGGGCUUCAUGAGUGUUAGUUGUGGAGGACUAUCCUAUGCCUUGUAGGAUGUUUAGCAGCAUCCCUAGUCUAUCCACAAAAUGCUGCUAGAAACCUCUCCCCCAACUGUAAAAACCAAGGAUGUGCUCAAACUUGGACACAUAUUCCCUAGAGGGUGAAACUGCCUUGAAAACCACUGGAUUGGGGACCAGCUUAGUUUGGAGGCUCUUUUGGUAACAGAAGAAAGGAAUUAGUGGAAUGAUGAUAUAACCAUCGGCAUGGCAGAAGUAAUCCAACCACAGGGGUUUAGAAGGGUCCUGGAAGAGAACCAGAACAUCCUCAAGGCACCACCAAGAUUUAAGGAUGUCACUUUAAUGUCUGCAAGCAACAGUUACUGCAACUUUCAAAGAGUUCAGAAAUUUGCAGUUCUUUUUUUAAUGGAUGAUUUUAUAGAAUACUAAAAGGGACAAUAUCACUUUUCUAUGGGAAUACAUAUACUCCCUGUAGACUUUUUUUAAAUAAACAUUUUAUUUUAGAAUGGUUUUAGAUUUAUAGAAUGAUUUAGGGGCACCU